GACGUAGGAGGCGAGCGUUGUCCGGAUUCAUUGGGCGUAAAGAGCUCGUAGGCGGUGUGUCGCGUCGGCCGUGAAAACCUGCAGCUUAACUGUGGGCUUGCGGUCGAUACGGGCAUCACUGGAGUUCGGCAGGGGGGACUGGAAUUCCUGGUGUAGCGGUGAAAUGCGCAGAUAUCAGGAGGAACACCGGUGGCGAAGGCGGGUCUCUGGGCCGAUACUGACGCUGAGGAGCGAAAGCGUGGGGAGCGAACAGG
Molecule: ribosomal RNA, 254 nt
Filed under: uncultured bacterium
Lineage: Bacteria
Description: partial 16S ribosomal RNA
Rfam family: Bacterial small subunit ribosomal RNA
Source: RNAcentral